RNAcentral lists this ribosomal RNA (251 nucleotides) under uncultured prokaryote. Its description in RNAcentral is "partial 16S ribosomal RNA". It matches the Rfam family "Bacterial small subunit ribosomal RNA", at positions 525 to 775 of the family's 1533-position model. The record is from RNAcentral.
ACGUAGGAGGCAAGCGUUAUCCGGAGUUACUGGGCGUAAAGGGCGUGCAGGCGGUUGGCUAAGUUCGUUGUGAAAUCCCCGGGCUUAACCUGUGAAUGGCGCUUGUGACUGGCGGGCUGGAGUACGGCAGAGGGGGGUGGAAUUCCACGUGUAGCAGUGAAAUGCGUAGAGAUCCGGAGGAACCCCGGUGGCGAAGGCGACUUGCUGGGCCUGAACUGACGCUCAGACGCGAAAGCAUGGGGAGCGAACGG